AGGCCUGGCAGAGCUCUGCAAGCUGGAGUCUUAGCAGCAGAAGUCAAACUGGGGUAAAUUUGUCCAAAGACAUAUAAAACAGUUUUCUCUGACAUGGUGCAUCUGAAACACAUAGGUGUCAAACAGUGAAUUUGGAUGUAAUCUCUGGAGCCAGGGCAGGACUUUUCUUUCAGUUUGACAGACUCUCACUCUGUUGCCCAGGCUGGAGUGCAGUGGUACAAUCUUGGCUCACUGCAGCCUCUACCUCCCAGGUUCAAGCGAUUCCUGGGCCUUGGCCUCACGAGUAGCUGAGAUUACAGGCACACAUCACCAUGCCCCACUAAUUUUUUUGUAUUUUUAGUAGAAAUGGGGUUUUGUUAUAUGGGCUAGGCUGGUCUCAAACUCCUGGCCUCAAGUGAUCCGCCUGCCUCAGCCCCCCUAAGUGUUGGGAUUACAGGCGUGAAUCACCUGGCCAGCAGGGCAGGACUUUCCUAAGGCUUCUCUGAACUCGUACUUGUAAAUCCUCUACCCUACAAGACUUUCUGCAACCCUAACACUAACAUCUUAAGGGUGAAGUAAAAAAA
RNAcentral lists this long non-coding RNA (563 nucleotides) under Homo sapiens (human). Its description in RNAcentral is "non-protein coding lnc-LONRF1-10:1". Lineage: Eukaryota; Metazoa; Chordata; Mammalia; Primates; Hominidae. The record is from RNAcentral.